This 247-nucleotide ribosomal RNA is filed under the name uncultured Desulfobulbus sp. RNAcentral describes it as "partial 16S ribosomal RNA". It matches the Rfam family "Bacterial small subunit ribosomal RNA", at positions 1136 to 1382 of the family's 1533-position model. Lineage: Bacteria; Pseudomonadati; Thermodesulfobacteriota; Desulfobulbia; Desulfobulbales; Desulfobulbaceae. The record is from RNAcentral.
CACUCUAAAGGGACUGCCGGUGUUAAACCGGAGGAAGGUGGGGAUGACGUCAAGUCCUCAUGGCCUUUAUGACCAGGGCUACACACGUACUACAAUGGCCGAUACAAAGGGCAGCGACACUGCGAGGUGAAGCCAAUCCCGUAAAAUCGGUCUCAGUCCGGAUUGGAGUCUGCAACUCGACUCCAUGAAGUUGGAAUCGCUAGUAAUCGUGGAUCAGCAUGCCACGGUGAAUACGUUCCCGGGCCUU